UCUGCGUUUCGCGCAGCGGUCUCGCUAGAAAGAUGCAACUAGCGACGAGGGUUGCGCUCGUUGCGGGACUUAACCCAACAUCUCACGAUACGAGCUGACGACAGCCAUGCAGCACCUGUGCACGCGUCCCGAAGGAGGCCCUGGCUUUCACCAGGCUUGCACGUGCAUGUCAAGUCCAGGUAAGGUUCUUCGCGUUGCAUCGAAUUAAGCCACAUGCUCCGCUGCUUGUGCGGGCCCCCGUCAAUUCCUUUGAGUUUUAGCCUUGCGGCCGUACUCCCCAGGCGGGGCGCUUAAUGCGUUAGCUGCGGCACGGAGGACGUGGAAUGUCCCCCACACCUAGCGCCCAACGUUUACGGCGUGGACUAC
Molecule: unclassified non-coding RNA, 366 nt
Filed under: uncultured Actinomycetes bacterium
Lineage: Bacteria; Bacillati; Actinomycetota; Actinomycetes
Description: uncultured actinobacterium contains 16S-23S intergenic spacer region
Source: RNAcentral